GGGGGCGACAAGGUUUCGACGGGGAUGUACGGGAGGUAGGUUGCACGCCGCGGCCCCGCCACCGCGCGACAAGCGGGAAAAACACAACAGCCGAUUCACACUUGGCUUACGCUGUUUAGCAGCGGCCCGGCCGAUUGGUAAGCGUGCCCGUCGCGUACACGGUCGGGUUCGGAAAAGCGGGCUGGGGUUCACGUCGUUCCCGCCGGCGCGGGCCGAGACAUCAGCGGGAUAGCGACGCCCAUUCCCGGUCGGGGGUUCCGGCGAAGCGAACGUUAAACCCGGCAUAAGCGUGUAGAAACCUGCCGGCCCGCAUCUUCGGACGCGGGUUCGAUUCCCGCCGCCUCCAA
Molecule: transfer-messenger RNA, 347 nt
Filed under: Candidatus Coatesiibacteriota bacterium
Lineage: Bacteria; Candidatus Coatesiibacteriota
Description: Candidatus Coatesbacteria bacterium transfer-messenger RNA
Rfam family: transfer-messenger RNA
About the family: Bacterial tmRNA, also known as 10Sa RNA or SsrA, is named for its dual tRNA and mRNA-like properties. Its role is to liberate the mRNA from a stalled ribosome.
Source: RNAcentral